AACGAACGCUGGCGGCAGGCUUAACACAUGCAAGUCGAACGGUUGUAGCAAUACAGCAGUGGCAGACGGGUGAGUAACACGUGGGAACCUUCCUAGGGGUACGGAACAACUCAGGGAAACUUGAGCUAAUACCGUAUACGUCCGUGAGGAGAAAGAUUUAUCGCCCUUAGACGGGCCCGCGUCGGAUUAGCUAGUUGGUGGGGUAACGGCCUACCAAGGCGACGAUCCGUAGCUGAUCUUAGAGGAUGAUCAGCCACACUGGGACUGAGACACGGCCCAGACUCCAACGGGAGGCAGCGGUGGGGAAUCUUGAAAAAUGGGCGCAAGCCUGUUCCAGCCAGGCCGCGUGAGUAAAGAAGGUCUUCGGAUUGUAAACCUCUUUUGCCAGGGACGAUAAUGACUGUACCGGGAGAAUAAGCCCCGGCUAACUUCGUGCCAGCCGCCGCAGUAA
RNAcentral lists this ribosomal RNA (451 nucleotides) under uncultured bacterium. Its description in RNAcentral is "partial 16S ribosomal RNA". It matches the Rfam family "Bacterial small subunit ribosomal RNA", at positions 29 to 523 of the family's 1533-position model. The record is from RNAcentral.